RNAcentral lists this ribosomal RNA (254 nucleotides) under uncultured bacterium. RNAcentral describes it as "partial 16S ribosomal RNA". It matches the Rfam family "Bacterial small subunit ribosomal RNA", at positions 524 to 776 of the family's 1533-position model. The record is from RNAcentral.
UACGUAGGGGGCAAGCGUUGUCCGGAUUUACUGGGCGUAAAGGGCGCGUAGGCGGCCUGUGCGCGUCAGUUGUGAAAUCUCCGAGCUUAACUCGGAACGGUCAACUGAUACUGCUCGGCUAGAGUGCGGAAGGGGCAACUGGAAUUCUUGGUGUAGCGGUGAAAUGCGUAGAUAUCAAGAGGAACACCUGCGGCGAAGGCGGGUUGCUGGGCCGACACUGACGCUGAGGCGCGAAAGCUAGGGGAGCGAACGGG